UGAAUGGACUUGAAAAUGAAUAAGUACAAAAAAGACUCAGUAAUAUUUUUGUUCUUCUAUUUCAAAAAACAAACUAUGCAUUUUUAUAUUUAUAUAAAAGUAUUUCAGAGCACAAGUCAAAAUUAAGUCACACUUCAUGUCAGUAUGAUCAUGCUUUGAAUAAGAUUGAUUAAAAUGCAACUCUAAAAGAGAUUGUUGUAAGGCAGCCCCCCCCCCCCCCCCCCAAAAAAAAAAACAAAAAAAACCCCAGUAAAUCUAAUGGUUGUUGGCUGCCUAAGUUCAAAUUUAGGACAAUACUUUUUCAUUUACUUUUGCAGGA
This 319-nucleotide long non-coding RNA is filed under the name Mytilus galloprovincialis (Mediterranean mussel). The record is from RNAcentral. Lineage: Eukaryota; Metazoa; Mollusca; Bivalvia; Mytilida; Mytilidae.